GCCUCGGUAGCUCAGCGGACAGAGCGCCGGUCUACGAAACCGGAGGGCGCAGGUUCGAUCCCUGCCCGAGGCACCA
Molecule: transfer RNA, 76 nt
Filed under: Aquisphaera giovannonii
Lineage: Bacteria; Pseudomonadati; Planctomycetota; Planctomycetia; Isosphaerales; Isosphaeraceae
Description: tRNA-Arg
Rfam family: tRNA
About the family: Transfer RNA (tRNA) molecules are approximately 80 nucleotides in length. Their secondary structure includes four short double-helical elements and three loops (D, anti-codon, and T loops). Further hydrogen bonds mediate the characteristic L-shaped molecular structure. tRNAs have two regions of fundamental functional importance: the anti-codon, which is responsible for specific mRNA codon recognition, and the 3' end, to which the tRNAs corresponding amino acid is attached (by aminoacyl-tRNA synthetases). tRNAs cope with the degeneracy of the genetic code in two manners: having more than one tRNA (with a specific anti-codon) for a particular amino acid; and 'wobble' base-pairing, i.e. permitting non-standard base-pairing at the 3rd anti-codon position.
Source: RNAcentral